UUUUUUUUUUUUUUGGUGUUUUUUUUUUUUUUUUUUAAUUGAUGUCCACCUCUAGAAUGCAGUGGCAGCCGGAGGCAGCAGAGGGUAGGGCAGGGAAAGCCAUGUUGUAUCUUUUAUUUUCUCUGGAAGAGGCAUUGAGAAAAAGCAGCAUGAUCUUGAAUCCGCGACAAUAUAUCCCGAAGUCUGCUUUCCAGUGCCUGCUGCAUUGUAUUCUGCACAUCUUCCUUCCUUCUUACCCCAUGGUGGAUCUUACCCCAUGGUGGAGUUCUUGAACAGAAUUCUUGAUUUCCAGUGCCAGCAGAGUACAGAGAAUGUUCUAGGCCAGAAUUCCAGCUCCUAGUUGUUGAUACUUAUUAAGUAUCCUGGAUGGCAACACAAAAGUGAUCCUAGAUCGUAGUAGCUAAAGUGUGCUGUGGCUGUGGGAGGGUAACCCCCUCCCUUGACCUGCUCCAUCAGCAGAAGAGGGCAGUGACUUCAGGUUCUUUCCCAGGGAGCUGGACGAAGCGGUAGGACUGAAUGGAAAUUUCAUCUGGUGACUGUACAAGGAGUCAGGCUCAGACUUCUGGAAAACAGGCUUUCCGGAGACAGGUGGAUGAUCAUGAUGACAAGUGUGCAUGCACAGCCCUUGAGAGCACGUCUGGACACAAACUAAUGAAGCUAAGCACUCACUAAAAUUGCUUUCCAUGGCGUGGGAGCAGGAAGCAGCCUAGUCUACAGGGUGAACUGGCUCAGACAGCGCUUCCUUCAGCUGGUCCAGGUUCACCACUCCACAUGUAUGGACUGCCUCCAGAGGGGGCCAGGAUGACUGUCCGAAGGCCUGAUGUUUGCUCUCCCCACCGGGCCUUGCAACAGGGAACCCUCUGAAAUAGCUCUUGCAAAUCCGACGCUUCCUACCCCUGCCCCCCAUCACCAGGUACUCUGCCGAGGAGGUCUGUUUUGUUUCUUUUUUUUUUUUUAAUUUUUAUUACAGUUGAUUUACAAUGUUUUGUCAAUUUCUGCUGUACAGCAAAAUGACCCAGUCAUAUGUGUAUGUAUAUAUAUAUGUAUAUAUAUACACACACACACAUAUACACACACACACACACAUACAUUCUUUUUCUCGUAUUAUUUUCUAUCAUGUUUUAUCACAGGUGGUCCUGUUUUGUUUCUAAUACUCACAAAAGCCUGGAAGGGAUCACAUAAGCCCCACUUGUUAGAUAGGAAACCAAGGCUCUAAAAGCUCAGUGAUUUUCCCUAGGAAAAUAGAAGGUUCAACAUCAUUCCCUAGGAAGGUCUGUCUGACACCAUCGCCCACGCCCUUUUCAUCUCCCCAUCUCUGAAGCAGAAAAGUAGAAGUCCUUCAAGAGCUGAUAUAAGACUGACGCAGGCGGGGUUGGGGGAGGUACUUUCUAUUUCUCACAUAGGAGCCCCGUGGAGUCCACUAACAGGGCUUUAUAACCACAUCAAGUUGAACCCCCUCCUUUCUGCUUGAAUCUAGGCACAGUGUGAUGCAGAUGAGCACAGAGCCUAGAGCCAGCAUGCCUGCUCCACCUCAGACUGACCCUGAUGCCUUUGGCUGGGUGCUCACUAUAAAACAGGGGUGGUGGUGAUGAUGACGUCUUUGUGAGAGGUUACAUGGUAUCUUGUGUGAUGUUAAGAUCACUGCCUGGCAUCUAGGAAGCGGUACCUGUGUGCUUGUUAAAUAAGGUCCUCUGGGUGUCCUGGAGGGUCUCCAGGUGGGACCUGCCUCUUGACUUCUCUCCCUCAAGCCACUGUUUUGGAGAAAGUGUGUUUGCAUUCUUUGCAAACUAUCACAAAUCUCUCUUUAUAAAACCAUAAAGGAUGCCAAGGGCCUUUGCGAGAGGUAGGUAAGGGAGACUGACUUUAUGUAUUUUGCAAAAUCUCAUCUAAUCUCAGAAUAGGAAAGGGCCUGUUACUCUUUCAAGUCACUUUAAAUGGUACCCAUGGAUCUCAGCAUCUCUUGCCCUUUGGGUCUUUACAUUUCACUCACCUUCUUUUUCAAGCUCAAUUAGUGAGGUUUGUUUGUUUGUUUGUUUGUUUUACAUUUUUCUCCUGAUCCCUUUUUGUCUUAUAAAGAUGUUGGGAGGUUGCUGAAAUCCCCUUAAGAGGCAGGUCACUGUUAUUCUGACAGGUGGCCAGCGUUAAGCCUGCCUUCAUCUCCAUCACUUAAGUAAAUAAAUACUGUGACCUAGCCCUUAAGUAGGGAGGAACAGAAGCUGAGAGGAUUUGGGAUUUGUCAGUUGCAGAUAAAACACUUGCUGUGCCCAGAAUGUCUCCUUCCCCCAACUCUCUACCGGCAAGGAGGUACUGCUUUAAUAGAGUUAACAGCCACAUGUUACCUUGGUUUUCCAGGGUCUUCUCAUGCUCUGUUCCCACUUUCAUAGAAGUUUUAAGGUGCUUUUUGUUUCAUUAUUAAGUCAAAAUGAAUGAAGAUAGUAAGUGAAUGUUGAAAAUUCAGCUAUGAGCUGAGGCAUGUGGAAACACUGCUGGGCCUGCAUGGGGCAGGAAGUAAGUGAAUGUGAGGAGGGUUCCUGCACUGGUCAGUCUUAAUGGGUGGGUUCCCAAAAGCUCUAGGCCCACUUCUGGAUGUCAGCUUCUUAAUGCAAAAUGUUUUUUCUCCUACCUUUUAGUGAAGCAGCAGGACUGCUGCAUGUGUGACCACUCGCUAGCACGGCUCUUCCAAAAGUUUAGAGCUGCUUUCCCUUCCUUUUCAAAAUGUCCCCUCUACUUUUCUGCUCCUAUCCUGCUUUUGAUGGAAGAGCAAAACACACUGAUUCAAAAGCCUCUCUGAGGAGUUCCUGUUGUGGCUCAGCAGGUUAAGUAUUGACACAGUGCCCACGAGGAUGCGGAUUCGAUCCCUGGCCUCGCUCAGUGGGUUAAGGACCUAGCAUUGCCAAGAGCUGUGGUGUAGAUCACAGAUGCGGCUUGGAUCCAGUGUUGCUGUAGCUGUGGUGUGGGCUGGGACCUGUAGCUCUGAUUUGACCCCUAGCCCAGGAACUUCCAUAUGCCAUGG
This 3013-nucleotide long non-coding RNA is filed under the name Sus scrofa (pig). RNAcentral describes it as "lncRNA (ENSSSCG00000052450.1)". Lineage: Eukaryota; Metazoa; Chordata; Mammalia; Artiodactyla; Suidae. The record is from RNAcentral.